Molecule: ribosomal RNA, 274 nt
Filed under: uncultured bacterium
Lineage: Bacteria
Description: partial 16S ribosomal RNA
Rfam family: Bacterial small subunit ribosomal RNA
Source: RNAcentral
AUACGGAGGGUGCAAGCGUUGUUCGGAAUUAUUGGGCGUAAAGCGCGCGCAGGCGGCUUGCCAAGUCUGAUGUGAAAGCCCGGGGCUCAACCUCGGAACUGCAUUGGAAACUGGUAGGCUUGAGUAUGAGAGGGGUUUGUGGAAUUCCUGGUGUAGGGGUGAAAUCCGUAGAUAUCAGGAGGAACACCGGUGGCGAAGGCGACAAACUGGAUCAUUACUGACGCUGAGGUGCGAAAGCGUGGGGAGCAAACAGGAUUAGAAACCCUUGUAGUCC